This 8652-nucleotide long non-coding RNA is filed under the name Populus tremula. Its description in RNAcentral is "long non-coding RNA (PTRE_LNC000698)". The record is from RNAcentral. Lineage: Eukaryota; Viridiplantae; Streptophyta; Magnoliopsida; Malpighiales; Salicaceae.
UUUUUUCGAAGAUCCAGCAGGAGUGGGGAGACACCCACAAGCCCCAAUCCCUUUGGGAUUUUUCAUCUCCCUCUCAUCAACACCAAGAGAAGCCAAGACAGCCCCCCCCACCUUCUGAUUUUUCUUCUUCUUCAGCCACCUGCACAGUAACUCUCCUCCCGAACACAGCAGCCCCCCAUCUACCCAGCAGCUCCCUUUUUUUUUUUUUCUUUUCUUUCUUCUCCUGAAGCCAAAACGAAGUCGUCCCUCCUUUUCUUCUCAUUUUUUUUCUUCCCGACCGCUGCAACCAGACAACCCUCCCGAUCUCCUUUCCCCUUCACUUUUCCUUCCUCUCGCCAACCUAAACCCGACCACAACUCCUUCUCUUUCUCCGAUCUGCCUCACACAGCCACGAUCCAGCACCCCUCAACUCUCACUCACGGCGUUUCCUCCUUCACCGAACAGACCCGACGGCCUCAGUUCCACCCGAGCAUCGACGACCGACCCAUAGUCAUCACAGACCGAAUCAGCUCUCCACCCGCCUCUGCCUUCUUCCUCCGGACAAGCCCUCCUCUCUCAGCCGACCCACCGGUCUCCACCAACAGCAGCAACCCACAAGCCAGCAGACCCAGCUCACCGCCUCCAGCAGAGACGCUGGUGGCUCCAGCUCUGACCGACCCCUCGCCACCACCGGAAGCAGAGAAGAAGGCGAAACCGAGAAGAGGCAGAGGCGCAACGGAGAAGAAGAGACUGAGGAGCAGAUCCGAAACAAAAAAAAUUAAAAUAAAACCAACUGGAUUGCGUCCUUUUCUUCUUUGCAGGUGAUGUUGCUCCUCACUGCCAGUGUAGGAGGGAAGAGGAGAUGAAGCCGAGUUAGAUCCAUCGUUUGUGCAUUUUUUCUGCGGUGGUGCGUGGAUCCACGCGCCCCCAAUGGCGGGGGCGCGUGGAUCCACGCGCCGCCACUGUUGAGGCAGCCCGGAAGGCAGCCCAGAAUUGUUCCUGAAUUCGUUUUGGGUCAUUUUGUAAUUUCCAAAUUGUUUAUUGUAAUAUUUAUUUAGUUUUGAGUUUUUUUUUUUUUUUGUAUGUUGUAAAUAUGGAAGGAAAAGAAAGAAAAGAAAAGAAAAGAGAAAGUGAUAAAUAACAAAAAAGGAAAUGUUUGUGUGUGUGUAUGUUUGUUUUUUUUAUUUAUUUAUGUUAUUGAAUUAAAAAUCAAAAAGGACAAAAAUAAUUAUUUGCUAAUUUAAAUAUGAUUAAAUAUCUCAAGGACAAAUAAAAUCAAGUUGUAUUUUCCAUGAAAAUGUAAGAACAAGUUUUUACAUAUAUUCGGGGAUUUAAUGACUGAUUUAUUCAAGCCUCAGAAUUUAAUUAAUAUUUUAAAUUUUCAAACCACAUCAGAACACAAAGCAGCUUACCUCAGGUAGGGUGUGUUAGGGGUGCUAAUACCUUCCCUAGCCACAACCAGUCCCUUACCCGCGAUCUCUGACAAGACCAGUACAUCAGGUUUCCUAGUAGCCCUCAAUGAAUUACUAGGUGGCGACUCCCACGAAUCAAAUUCAGCAAAACAUCACAAACGAGAAAAAUCGCCAGCCGAUGCCGCGCGCCAGGAUUUUUUGGGGUGCGACAGGAUGGCGACUCCACUAGGGAAGGUAUUGUUUUCAACUUUAUCGGACUAAGCUUUGUGUUUUGAUGUGUUCAAUUUUGUUUUUUGUGCUUUGUUUUAUUUAUUUGUGUUUUAUUCAUGCAUUGUAUAUAUUUUUCUCAUGCAUCACAAGUUUUAAUUUUUGAAAGCACACACCAGCUUUAGGUUAGGUGGGGGACUAGCAGCUUACCUUACGACUUGAGUCAAGGUUUAAGUUUGUGUAAACCCCAACUCUUUGUUGAGUGCUUAGACUGGUAAUAGUUGGACACGUGCCAACCAAUUACCUACUGGGCUCCUAUAUUGCCUUUACGAAGGCGAUCACUGGGACAACAAGAGACCCUUUUAGAGACCAAGUAGCAAACCUACCAUGUCUCACGUAAAAUGAAUAGAGCUUGUCUUUAGGAUGUAUGUGCUAUUGUUUUGCAUCCGAGCAAACCCUUCUUGAAGCAUCUUGAACUCAAGACUUGUGGGUGACACAUUGAACGUUGCUCCGAAAAUUUUCAUUGUAGAGUUUGGGCAAAAAUCACGAUUCUUGUUCCAUCAUACAAGAGUUACGACCAUAUUGUCACCCCUCGAAGGGUGAGUUCGUCAUAUAGAUUACAUAUUCAUACAUUUAUCAUGCAUGUACCGGGUUGAAAAGUAGGUUCCCCCGCACAAGCUGUGCUGCACGUGAUUGAAGAAAAAUGAUGAGGUGAAGAAAGGUGUCAGAUAGAGGCUCAUUAUCAGUUUGAGUUUGAGAGCAUCAAAGGUGAAAUAGCUGGACUCAGAUCUGCUCGAACAAGUGUUGAGCAUCAAAUGGAAAGAGAAUUUCUGCACAGUCUUCUGUGGGAACACUACUUGUCCAUGUCCAAUUGAAGCUACCUCUCCUUUUCAGUCAUGAACAACAUCAACAAUGCCUUCAGUCAUCAACUAAUGACAACUCUAAUUCUUGUCCAGUUGCACUGUUAAGUGUUAUCGCCUCCACAUCAUCCAAUGGAAACAAAUGACUAUUAGCCUCCUGUACAUGUGCAUUAGUCUGCUUUAAAGUUACCCCAAUUAUGAGCUCAAUUCCAGUUCAGCAGCACAAGAUGUGGGUCUGAAAAACCAUGAUCAGACACUGAACUUCAAUGUGGCAGAGCUCUCUCUCUACAGAAAUCCAUUUAUGGCUCCGCAAAUUGGGAAUGCAAGAGGGGAUUUAUAAGUUGCAUAUGCUACAAAUAUUUCUCUCAUCAGCUUCAGCACGAAGACCUUUAGUAGGUUGAAGAGCCAGACCUGGUCUGAAAAAUAUGAGCAGACAUCAAACUUCAACGUAGCAGAGCUCUCUCAUCAGGAAUCUGUUUGUGGAUCCGCAAGGGAAAUCCAAGAAGGAAUACAGUAGUUUCAGAUCAUCUAUGAUUUUCCUCCAACAUGUCGGCAUUAAAACUCAAAAGUAGAGAGAAGAGACAUGCCUAGACUGAAAAACAUGAAGAAUACUGAAACUUCAACAGAGCAGGACUUCCUCUAUAGGUGUUUGUUUGCUGCACUGUCAGUGAGAAAUCGAAGAGGGGACAAAGGAGUUUAGAUUCAUCAGGUGCUCUUCCAAUAGAGACAAUGUGUGAUUCCACACGUCGGUAGUGCGAUACUACAAGUUUCUGGGCGCUGCCAAGAUUACCAAGCUGUUGGAAAGUUUUCUAACAAUCCUCAACCAACCACAACAACAUUGGAAGAUUGAAUGAUGUUGUGAGGAUCCGAAGAAUUGAACAAGCUAUGAAGAAGAAAGAUUGAAGGAUUGCCAUGGAUUCCAGAACGUGAGAGAGUGAAUCAGGAGAUGACUCUCGAUUGAGAACCUCAUUAUUUUGCCUAGUCAAGUCUCGUAGCAUCAAUUGCUCAAAUGUCUUUGCCAAGAUGACAUUCCUCUGCCACUUAAGUUUGUCGCCAGCAUCUGCCAGAUUCCAGAAUUUUGCUUGACUCCGACAAAUCCCAUGCAACCACCAAUUUCUAGGUGGUAUAAUCCAGAUAAGAGAUGUGAUGUCAUGGUGGGGUCCUCAACCAUUUCAAGUGAACAUUUCAAGAAUUGCAAGAAUUGCAAGAAUUGAGUCUGAAAGUUGGUGAGCAAGAGAGUCGGAGGGUGUCAUUGGCUAUAUUGUCCCCCGAACAUCUUCAGAAUGACAUGUUGAUCGAAAGUGCUUGGCAAAACGCAAAUAUUGCCAGAAAAGCUGAUUCAAGAAUGGUGAUGAACAGUCAAUCAUGUUUUGGAAUUCUGCAUUUUGUUUUGGGAUCACAUCUCAUCCUUCAACGAAACAUGCCUUGCUUUUGUUUUUUUUGUUCUUUUGAAAUCAACAGAUGUUUAACAUUUUCUCUGAUAAAAUAUUUUGAUCAAACUCCAACAUGCGAUAAAGGUUAAUCAAUCCUGAAGAUUAAAAGUGUUUUGAUUGUAGAAAUGACUCGAUUCUUGUUGAGAUGACAUGAGGUGACCGAACAAAUUUUGAACUCACACCUCCUGAAACUGAACCACACAUCAUAUAGCUAAGUUUUAACAGUAUGCAUAAUGACAUGUAGUGGUUUCGGUAGCUAUGGACUCGUGAAUCAUGACUCUUACAAGUCCAAAUCAUUACACUAGAUGAGGUCAAAAUUUAUCGGUUCUAACCGACCUUGCAGGAAAUGAGAAAAGGCCAUCUUUGAUAUCCUGUCACUUUCUAAAAAUUAUCUCCCUUGUAGUCCCAUUUUGAGCUGGAUAUAUAUAUUUUUUUUUAUAGAAACCCUGACUAGGAUCACACCCCACACUGGGGGCAAAUGAGAAAUAUCUUGGAGACACGGAUAAGAUCAAUGGAUCAAAGAAGAGCUUAGAACAAAAGUCCAAUGUUUGAGAAAGGGCUAGAAGAAGAAAAUCCAUAGAUUGAGGGUCAUCCAAGAAAAACUUUGAGGAAAGGAAAGAAAAUGCCCACCAAUUCUAAGAGAGGCAAGACAGUUUUCAAUUGAGAAAAGACAAUAAAUGCCAAAAGUCAACACUAGAAAAAUCGAUGCUUCAUAUCUUUUGGUGUGUCUAGGAUAAAGCCUCUAAUGUCUUCAAAUUUUUUAGAUUGGUUAUUCAUCAAAGAAAAAGUUGGAUUACGACCUAUGUUAAGAGAAUUCUGAUAUCUAAAGAUUAACAAGGUUAUAUGUCACUUUCUCUACAAUGACAACAAGAGAAAGAGAAUCGAUGAAUAGUUAAUGUUGGUCCUAGGUCGUUGAAACCCUCAAACACCUUUUGAGCCUUGAAAUUCUUUUCUUUCAUAGCCAUGAACCAUAGCCUGCAUUACGUGCUUUUAAAAGCCCUUUUUAAUCAAGCAAGCAAUUUGAAUCGAUAAAUGGCGCUCUCAAAACUUGAAGAGUUUUUCCAUAAGGGUCGUGACUUCAUGAAUUAAGCUACUGGUUAUUAUGCAUGCUGAUAAAAUAAAUGCUAAGAAAAGAAACAACCUUUCUUGAUAAAGCCUGAGCAUCUUGUUUUUGAAAUUCAUAAAAAUGUCACCUCAUCACAGACCAUCAAAAGAUAUACCCAAAAUCAGAGUUUAAAGUGGACACAAAGAACCAUGAAAAAGUCAUUUUAAAUCUUACAACGGGUCAUUUCUGUUUUCAAAAUACAAGACAAUCAAAGGACUGCAUUGAAUAGUGUGUUGGGUCUUUGACCAAAGAAGUUUGAAUUUCAAAAGAAAAAAUAAUAACUUCAAAAACAGACAUCUCUCUGAUUUCAUUUCAACAUUUAGACUUGAAUAGACAUGAUCGUUGAAAUGUGAGAUUUGAUUCCAGAACAAGAAAGAUUUUCAAACAAGAACAUCAUUGAGUUUGCAAAAUCCUCGACAAAAAUGACAUCAACAUUUCUCGACACUCCUUGAAACGUUGACCACCUGGGGGCAAUACAGUGGGCCCUUAGAAGAAAAGCAAACAAUAUCCAGAUCAGCUGGGGGCAAAGAAAGAAUCACAUGAUGAGUCAUCAAAGCCACCAAAGUCACUCCUGGCAUUCACAAAAGCCAUUGUAUAACAGAAGAAUGAGCAUUCAGAUCGAUUAGGGGCAAUGUUGUUCAAAGACAAUCCAUGAUUAGUGCACUUCAGCAGCAAUUGAUGAGCAACGCUGCACUUGAAGGAUAUCUUCAUAUCUUCAUUUUGGGUUACCUUGUAAAACAUGGCUAUGACUCCUGACAGAUGUUAUCGGGUGAGUGCAUUUGAAUGAACAUCGAACAUAUGCAUACCACUAAGAUUGACUAUGGGACCAUCUAUUCUGAAGCUCAAAUGCGCACUUCACCGCAUGAAUAUGGGUGAUAACAUGAACAUCAUUGAUGAUGCCAAAGCAGUUAUUUUCACGAUCUGAUUUGACAAGCUAAGAGGAAUCUAUAGAGAAAUACAUCGCGCUUACAAUGAUGAGUUGUUUACUGCAAAUAAUGAGAUGCAUGUCUGGAUGACUUGGCAGUUCCAUGAAGGCUGGUGACCAUACAUACUUAAAUGGUGUUUCAACCGAAGGCAAGUUCAUGACUGAUUAACAAACUUGAUGGGUGUUGGCAUGAUGCAUACAAUCAAUCAAAGGAUAAUUCUCAGAAGAAUCCAAGAGAGAAAAUUCUUCAUGAUGAAUCAAGCAACACCACACUUGGGGGCAUUAUCAAGCUUGAUGAGCGAUGCGAGCAGUAAUUGUCGAAGACAGCCCGGGAUGGGCACUGCAUUUACAGCUGAGUCGAUGACUAGCACAUGAAUGAGCCAAUGCAUCGAAAGAACAAAGAAAGCUUUGGGAUGCAGACAAGGGCACCCUAUGACGAUGGAGCAUCAAAGAGGGGGGGACCUAUAUUUCAAAUCAGGUAAGGAUGCAUGCAUAUCAUCUAAAAAAAAAAAACCAUUUGCACAUAUUUUUGAAUUGUUACAGGAAAAUCCCUAGUGAGGUCCAGCAAGAUGUUGGAAAAAAAGAGAAGCAUUGUGGUGAUGAUAAUAAAGAAUCGGUUUUGAUCAUGGAAUAAAAGGACGAUGGGAUGAACCCUACCAUUAGGAAAAUCCCAAAGAAAUGAAUAGAUCAACCUUGCAACCGGGAAGCCUCGAGUUUUCAACCCUUGCAGCCAGGAAACACCGAGUUUUCAAACCCUAUGAUCGGGAAUUAUCAUAUCACAUUUUUUUUCCAUCUGGGUAGGUCGCCCAUCAUAAUAAGACCGUUCAUCAUAUUUUUUUUUCAUCUGGGUAGGUCACCCAUUACAAUGAGACCACACUUCACAUUCUUUCUAUUUGGGUAGGUCGCCCAUCACAACGAGACCACUUCAUCAUAUUUUUUCCAUUUGGGUAGGUCACCCAUUACAAUGAGACCACACUUCAUAUUUUUUCCAUUUUUGGGUAGGUCACCCAUUACAAUGAGACCGCACUUCACAUUCUUUCUAUUUGGGUAGGUCGCCCAUCACAACGAGACCACUUCAUCAUAUUUUUUCCAUCUGGGUAGGUCACCCAUUACAAUGAGACCACACUUCCUUUUUUCCAUUUGGGUAGGUCACCCAUCACAAUGAGACCACCAUUUUUUCUGGGUAGGUCACCCAAAGAAUGAGACCAUUCUCCAUCUUUUUUUUUACCUGGAUAGGUCACCCAUAAGAAUGAGGCCAUUCCUACCCCUGGGUAGGUCACCCAAAGAAUGAGACCACUCUUCCUUUUUCCACUUGGGUAGGUCACCCAUCACAAUGAGACCACCAUUUUUUUUUUCUGGGUAGGUCACCCAUUAGAAUGAGACCAUUCUCCAUUUUUUUUACCUGGGUAGGUCACCCAUAAGAAUGAGGCCAUUCUUCCCCCUGGGUAGGUCACCCAAAGAAUGAGACCACUCUUCCUCCUUUCCAUCUGGGUAGGUCACCCAUUAUAAUGAGACCACUUUUUACACAUUCUUUUGUUCCAGUUGAAUGAGGUCGCCAGAUGGGAUCUCAUGUAGCUUUGGUUAAAGGGAAUCUCCAUAUGGGAUUUCAGGUUGACCGAGUUACACACAUUCUUUGGUUUUGGUUAAAGGAGGUCGCCAGAUGGGAUCUCAGGAUAAUAAAAAAGAAAAAAAAGAAAAAAAACGUUUUUUUUAAACAGAAAGACAAGUUUUUCUUUACAAAGCUUACUAUGCAAAACAUUGAGGAUUUUUGCUUCGUAAGCAUUGUAAAGAGGGGGCAUCUGUUGCUACCCAAUUUUUGACCCAUGUUUUUGAUAUAUUUUAAAAAAAUCCAAAAAUAGAGAAAAACAAAGAAAAUCCAAAAAAAUAUGUUUUUAAUAUAUUUUCGUCAUUUUAGCAUUUUCAACGUCGUUUAAAAAAUUUUAAAAAAUUUUUAAGGGUCUUUCGAAUGCGUUCGACUUUUCACGCGUCAUUUUCAAAAUAAUUGAUUUUCCGUAUUUGAGUCGACGUUGAUAUUGCUCGUUUUCAAAAAAAUACAAAAAAAACAAGAAAAAUCAAAUUUUACAAAAAAAAAGAAAAUUAAGGGACCAAUUUUGAGGCCGAAACAAUAUUUUUGCCUAAGGGAAUUUUGAAUUUUGGAAGGAGGGGAACCUAAGAAUUUUUUUUUUUUUCUCUUCACCCGAAACUAGCCGUUCCCCCUGGCCCAGGACCAUUAUUUAACCCCUCUCUUUUGGCUGAAAAUUAGCAGCUCAACCCCACCCAUGGUCCUCUUUUCUUUGUUUCCCGCCGACAAUGGUGGCCCUCUUCAUGAUGAAAGCUUCUAUUUCUUCUCAUCCCCAGCUUUGUAAAAGGAGAGAUAUUGGAGCCAGUUUUUUCGAAGAUCCAGCAGGAGGGGGGAGACACCCACAAGCCCCAAUCCCUUUGGGAUUUUUCAUCUCCCUCUCAUCAACACCAAGAGAAGCCAAGACAGCCCCCCCCACCUUCUGAGUUUUCUUCUUCUUCAGCCACCUGCACAGUAACUCUCCUCCCGAACACAGCAGCCCCCCAUCUACCCAGCAGCUCCCUUUUUUUUUUUUUUUUUUUCUUUUCUUUCUUCUCCUGAAGCCAAAACGAAGCCGUCCCUCCUUUUCUUCUCAUUUUUUUUCUUCCCGGCCGCUGCAACCACAGCCCUCCCGAUCUCCUUUCCCCUUCACUUUUCCUUCCUCUCGCCAGC